This 222-nucleotide ribosomal RNA is filed under the name Cyrtopodion scabrum. RNAcentral's name for it is "partial 16S ribosomal RNA". It matches the Rfam family "Archaeal large subunit ribosomal RNA", at positions 1922 to 2175 of the family's 2987-position model. The record is from RNAcentral. Lineage: Eukaryota; Metazoa; Chordata; Lepidosauria; Squamata; Gekkonidae.
UACGUGUACAUAGCAUUAAGGUCAUGCCUGCCCAGUGAGUCCAUAACUUUAACGGCCGCGGUAUCCUAACCGUGCAAAGGUAGCGCAAUCACUUGCCUCUUAAUUAGGGGCCCGUAUGAACGGCCAACCGAGGGUGCCCCUGUCUCCUAAGGCCAUACAAUGAAACUGAGCCCCUAGUACAAACGCUAGGAUUAUAAUAUAAGACGAGAAGCGCCUAUGGAG